This 460-nucleotide ribosomal RNA is filed under the name uncultured bacterium. RNAcentral's name for it is "partial 16S ribosomal RNA". It matches the Rfam family "Bacterial small subunit ribosomal RNA", at positions 338 to 795 of the family's 1533-position model. The record is from RNAcentral.
CCUACGGGUGGCAGCAGUGAGGAAUAUUGGUCAAUGGACGCGAGUCUGAACCAGCCAAGUCGCGUGAAGGAUGACUGCCCUCUGGGUUGUAAACUUCUUUUAUAUGGGAAUAAAAUGUUCCACGUGUGGGAUUUUUUAUGUACCCUAUGAAUAAGGAUCGGCUAACUCCGUGCCAGCAGCCGCGGUAAUACGGAGGAUCCGAGCGUUAUCGUGAUUUAUUGGGGUUAAAGGGAGCGUAGGUGGAUUGUUAAGUCAGUUGUGAAAGUGUGCGGCUGAACCGUAAAAUUGCAGUUGAUACUGGCAGUCUUGAGUACAGUAGAGGUGGGCGGAAUUCGUGGUGUAGCGGUGAAAUGCUUAGAGAUCACGAAGAACUCCGAUUGCGAAGGCAGUUGACUGGACUGCAACUGACACUGAGGCUCGAAAGUGUGGGUAUCAAACAGGAUUAGAUACCCGGGUAGUC